GUCACUUUGCCGGAGUGGUUAACGGGAUCGCCUGCUAUUUUCAGCCAAGCGGUUGUGCUUUGCACGCGUGUGUUCGAAUCGCACAGGUGACG
Abortiporus biennis is the source of this 92-nucleotide non-coding RNA. The record is from the annotation of a GenBank genome assembly. Lineage: Eukaryota; Fungi; Basidiomycota; Agaricomycetes; Polyporales; Podoscyphaceae.